This 343-nucleotide ribosomal RNA is filed under the name uncultured bacterium. RNAcentral's name for it is "bacterial SSU rRNA". It matches the Rfam family "Bacterial small subunit ribosomal RNA", at positions 28 to 368 of the family's 1533-position model. The record is from RNAcentral.
GACAAACGCUGGCGGGGUGCAUGAGACAUGCAAGUCGAACGAGGUGCCAUCGGGCUUGCUCGAUGGCUACCUAGUGGCGGACGGCUGAGUAACGCGUAGGUGACCUACCCGGAAGUGGGGAAUAACUGCCCGAAAGGGUGGCUAAUACCGCAUGUGGUCGGCGAUUCGAUUCGCCGUCUAAAGGAGUAAUUCGCUUCCGGAGGGGCCUGCGUCCGAUUAGCUAGUUGGUGGGGUAACGGCUCACCAAGGCGACGAUCGGUAGCUGGUCUGAGAGGAUGAUCAGCCAGACUGGGACUGAGAACGGCCCAGACUCCUACGGGAGGCAGCAGUCGGGAAUUUUGCC